UACGAAGGGUGCUAGCGUUGCUCGGAAUCACUGGGCGUAAAGCGCACGUAGGCGGAUUCUUAAGUCAGGGGUGAAAUCCCGGAGCUCAACUCCGGAACUGCCUUUGAUACUGAGAAUCUUGAGUUCGGGAGAGGUGAGUGGAACUGCGAGUGUAGAGGUGAAAUUCGUAGAUAUGCGCAAGAACACCAGUGGCGAAGGCGACUUCCGGGCCUGUUCUUGACGCUGAGGCGCGAAAGCUAGGGGAGCAAACGGG
RNAcentral lists this ribosomal RNA (253 nucleotides) under uncultured bacterium. RNAcentral's name for it is "partial 16S ribosomal RNA". It matches the Rfam family "Bacterial small subunit ribosomal RNA", at positions 524 to 776 of the family's 1533-position model. The record is from RNAcentral.